Molecule: signal recognition particle RNA, 297 nt
Filed under: Oreochromis niloticus (Nile tilapia)
Lineage: Eukaryota; Metazoa; Chordata; Actinopteri; Cichliformes; Cichlidae
Description: Metazoan signal recognition particle RNA (ENSONIG00000041465.1)
Rfam family: Metazoan signal recognition particle RNA
About the family: The signal recognition particle (SRP) is a universally conserved ribonucleoprotein.
Source: Rfam by way of RNAcentral
GCCGGGUGCGGUGGCGCGUGCCUGUAAUCCAAGCUACCGGGAGGCUGAGGUUGGAGGAUCGUUUGAGCUCAGGAGCUCUGAGCUGCAGCAGGCUAUGUCGAUCGGGUGUCCGCACUAAGUUCGGCAUUGAUAUGGUGAUCCUGGGGGAGCCCGGGACCACCAGGUCGUCUAAGGAGGGUGCACCGGCCCAGGUCGGAGACGGAGCAGGUCAAAGCCCCCGUGUCGCUCAGUAGUGGGAUGCGCCUGUGAAUAGAUGCUGUAGCGCAGCCUGAGCAAUACAGCGAGACCCAAUCUUUA